UACGAAGGGGGCUAGCGUUGCUCGGAAUUACUGGGCGUAAAGGGCGCGUAGGCGGCGGCCCAAGUCAGGCGUGAAAUUCCUGGGCUCAACCUGGGGACUGCGCUUGAUACUGGGUUGCUUGAGGAUGGAAGAGGCUCGUGGAAUUCCCAGUGUAGAGGUGAAAUUCGUAGAUAUUGGGAAGAACACCGGUGGCGAAGGCGGCGAGCUGGUCCAUUACUGACGCUGAGGCGCGACAGCGUGGGGAG
RNAcentral lists this ribosomal RNA (245 nucleotides) under uncultured Roseomonas sp. RNAcentral's name for it is "partial 16S ribosomal RNA". It matches the Rfam family "Bacterial small subunit ribosomal RNA", at positions 524 to 768 of the family's 1533-position model. The record is from RNAcentral. Lineage: Bacteria; Pseudomonadati; Pseudomonadota; Alphaproteobacteria; Acetobacterales; Roseomonadaceae.